UACGAAGGGGGCUAGCGUUGCUCGGAAUCACUGGGCGUAAAGGGUGCGUAGGCGGGUCUUUAAGUCAGAGGGGAAAUCCUGGAGCUCAACUCCAGAACUGCCUUUGAUACUGAAGAUCUUGAGUUCGGGAGAGGUGAGUGGAACUGCGAGUGUAGAGGUGAAAUUCGUAGAUAUUCGCAAGAACACCAGUGGCGAAGGCGGCUCACUGGCCCGAUACUGACGCUGGGGCACGAAAGCGUGGGGAGCAAACAGG
This 253-nucleotide ribosomal RNA is filed under the name uncultured bacterium. RNAcentral's name for it is "partial 16S ribosomal RNA". It matches the Rfam family "Bacterial small subunit ribosomal RNA", at positions 524 to 776 of the family's 1533-position model. The record is from RNAcentral.